This 1055-nucleotide long non-coding RNA is filed under the name Bos indicus x Bos taurus (hybrid cattle). RNAcentral describes it as "lncRNA (ENSBIXG00000009918.1)". Lineage: Eukaryota; Metazoa; Chordata; Mammalia; Artiodactyla; Bovidae. The record is from RNAcentral.
AGCUGCAGGUUUGUGCUUGGCCAGUAUGCCGCCAGGCAGUGGUGAUCGCUGAGUUCUGCGUGAAGCCGGGUAUAGCUUGGCUGGUAGCGCUGGCAUCCAGGCCUGGGGAGCCCCUCCCCCCCCACCACACACAGACAUCUGGGUCUUCCUCACCUUCCCUUCCCACAUCUCCUCGCUAAGAUUAGGGUACUGUCAUCUCCCGAAAGGUCUGCAAGAGUGAAGGGGCACAAAUUAAUACAAUCUUGCAAUAAGACAGAAAGGCCUUUGUAAACACUGGCUAAGACUGGGCGGAUAACCAACAAGGACCUCCUGUACAGCACAGGGAACUCUGCUCAACGUUAUGUGGCAGCCUGGAUGGGAGGGGAGUUUGCUGGAGAAUGGAUAUACCUAUGUGUACGGCUGAGUCCCUUCACUAGUCACCUGAAACUAUCACAACACUGUUAAUCAGCUGUUCCCCAACACAAAAUAAAAAGUUUUUGUUUUUUUUUAAGACUACCUCUGGGGAGUGGAAAUUCUUGGUGGCUCUUCCCUGGAGUCCCCCAUGGCAUUUGGAAGACAGGAGACCAGGUGGAGGGGACCCUUGGCAGGGUGGCUUCUGGUACAGAUGCCAACAGAGACUUAGCUGGGAAGCAUGCAGGUUUCUGGAAUUUCCUUCCCAACACGUGAUCAGGCUUCCUCUAAGUUAUGGUGGCCUUUUGGGUCAAACUCUGGACCCCUUUGAUUCUGCUGCUGUUCUGACAUUUGCUGCAAGGUGUGGAACUUUCCUUGCUUGUUCUGACUUGUGUUGGCGCUAACUUCUCUGUUCCUCUUGAUUCACAGCAAGAAAUCAGAGACAAGUAUUGGACAUUAGUGCUGCUUUAGUUUCUCUCACUCCUAUUCUCUGUCCCUCAACUCUCAACCCCUGCUCCCAACACACACACACACACACACACUACCUGGUUCCCUGUAAGGAUGAAAUGCACUGAUCUGAUAUUUUCCAUUUUUAAGACUUGAAUUCAAUCAGAAUUUUACCAUGCGUCAUGAAAACUAGAAAUACAUAUAUUAUGAUUUAUGGC